GGUGGGGUUGAUGUCUAAAACAGAACCGAGGACAGACAACAGGCACUGAUCUCUUUGGCACUGCUCACAGUCUGAAAAGGAAUGUUUGAAAUCAAUUCCAAUAAAUCCCAACGUGAAGCUCCCUUCUUCAGCUGAGAGAAUUGGUCCGUCAGGACAAACCUGCCUGGAUCUCGUUAAACAGGUAUUUGUAAUCCUGGGAGAAGACAUUCCCUUUUCUGCCGUCUCCCAACAGGGAAGAGAUACAGGAGCUUGAAGGCACAUACCACCAGGCUCAAGGACACCUUCUAUCCCCAUUAUCAGACCACUGAAUAGACCUCUGGUACGAUAAGAUGGACUCUUGACCUCAGAGUCUAACUCGUUAUGAUCUUGCAGUCGGAGCCCGAGACAACCACAACGGGCUUUUCCUUCGCUCUCUCCGCCUCCUCUUGCUCUUGUCGCACGUAGUAAACCGGCCGCACGCAGCAGGUUUUACCCUUCAUCCUCGACUUCUGCAGAACAAGGGUAUCACGAUCCAGCACGACCAUGAGGGACGUUGCCAAAAUCCUUACUAAAAUCCAGCACCAAAUUCAGGAACGGAUACUAUCAGGUUUGAGGAACAGGAGCCUCCAAGUCCCACGCCUCCAGGUUCAGGAACAGCCACCAGCACAUACGCGGAACAGGAGCCUCCAAGUCCCACACCUCCAGGUUCAGGAACAGCCACCAGCACAUACGCGGAACAGGAGCCUCCAAGUCCCACACCUCCAGGUUCAGGAACAGCCACCAGCACAUAUGCGGAACAGGAGCCUUCAAGUCCCAUGCCUCCAGGUUCAGGAACAGCCACCAGCACAUACGCGGAACAGGAGCCUCCAAGUCCCACGCCUCCAGGUUCAGGAACAGCCACCAGCACAUACGCGGAACAGGAGCCUCCAAGUCCCUCACCUCCAGGUUCAGGAACAGCCACCAGCACAUACGCGGAACAGGAGUCUCCAAGUCCCACACCUCCAGGUUCAGGAACAGCCACCAGCACAUACGCGGAACAGGAGCCUCCAAGUCCCACACCUCCAGGUUCAGGAACUGCUACUUCCCUUCGGCCAUUAGGUUCCUGAAUCAAUCUGCACAACUCCACAGCUACUUCAGCCAUGGAACACUACGGACCACCUCUUGAGCUACUAGUGUUUGACUGAGUUGAUUUUGUACGAUGAUCUUGUUUUGCAGAGUCUUUUUUACCACUAGAUUGUACAAUUUCAUAUAUAACAUAUUUUGUUUGCUGUGACUGAUGCUGGAAGAAAACUUUUCAUUGUAUCUGUACCUCACCGUGCCUGUGCAUAUGACAAUAAAUCUGAUUGAAACUUGAACUUGGUAUUUCUUGACGCCCAACAGACACCUACCAACAUACUAAA
Hypanus sabinus (Atlantic stingray) is the source of this 1379-nucleotide long non-coding RNA. RefSeq lists it as uncharacterized. The transcript has 4 exons. NCBI's taxonomy places the organism in Eukaryota, Metazoa, Chordata, Chondrichthyes, Myliobatiformes, Dasyatidae. The record is from RefSeq and is a predicted model, not a curated record.